Molecule: long non-coding RNA, 1201 nt
Organism: Carassius gibelio (silver crucian carp)
Lineage: Eukaryota; Metazoa; Chordata; Actinopteri; Cypriniformes; Cyprinidae
Exons: 3
Source: RefSeq, a predicted model, not a curated record
CAUCUUCAAAAAGCUGUUCAGCAGAAGGAAGCAUGCAGUGCUCCAAAAUAUCUUGGUUAACAGGUGCAGUGACUUUGGUUUAAAAAAAAAAAAAAAACACAAUGGACCAACACCAGCAGAUGACGUUGCACCCCAAAUCAUCACAGACUGUGGUAACUUAACACUGGACUUCAAGCAACUUGGGCUAUGAACUCUUCCCCCAGACUCUAGGACCUUGGUUUCCAAAUGAAAUACAAAACUUACUCUCAUCUGAAAAGAGGACUUUGUGCCACGCUGUCUGGUCUCUGUUUCCCUGAGUCUUCACUAGUGGUCUCACUUACCCAUAGGCACCUCAGCAUAGGCACAACAAUUCCCACAAAGCCUUGUCCCUUCAUCAGAGUAAUUGCACUCCUGUUAAUUGCACUCAGGUGUCUUCACUUGAUAGUCAUUACCCUGCCUAUAUUAACCGGUCUUUUUCUGUUUGUCUUCAUGGAGUCCUUUCAUUCCGUCACCCUGUUUCCUUGCCUUCCGAGGGUCCUCGUUUUCUGUUCCCUUUCCUGUUUGUUUAUUUUUGGAUGGAUAUAUGGUUUUGACCCCUGCUUGUUGGAUGCUGAUUUGGAUUACCCAUUAAAACCCACACUGCAAUUGGAUCUCUCGUCUCCUGUGUUUUCGCUGGGUUCCGAUCGUAACACUUUCGACCACUGGGCAACAGUACAUUUCUUCUUCUCCUUAGCCCAGACGGUAUGGAUUUUUAUCCUCCUCUCCUCCCCCUUCAUCUCUCGGGGGUGUUUGGAGAACCAGGGAAGUUGUGGACACACCAGGAUGCUGAGAGACUGUUCAGACAGGCUGACAGACAGCCUGCUUCUCCCGCUGAGAAUGAUGAUGGGGAGUCAGGGAGAAGGGACCGUUGGUGUACUUUGAAAGCUGUGGGGACACGAUGUGUGCGAAACAGACAAGAAUGUGAAAAGUGAAGUAUAACCCAGGCCAAAAUCAAAAUUGCUGAUGAGAUGAAGAUUAAAAUAUCUAGUGUGAAAAUGAGAAUGUUAUGUUUUUUUAUGAUAAAAUUGUUUUCAGUGUUUUGGCAGAUGGCCAUAUACUGAAAUCCCCCAUGCCAUUGUCCAUUGCUGGAAAACAAUUAUAUUUUAAAACAUUCAAAUGGUGGUCUCUACUGAUUUUGCUUUCAAUUGCAUGCAGUCAAUAAACCUUGGAUGCACCAUUUAAA